This is a long non-coding RNA of Rana temporaria (common frog), 334 nucleotides long. RefSeq lists it as uncharacterized. The transcript is spliced from 2 exons. The record is from RefSeq and is a predicted model, not a curated record. NCBI's taxonomy places the organism in Eukaryota, Metazoa, Chordata, Amphibia, Anura, Ranidae.
CCCCCUGGGGUCUGUUUUGGUUUCCCUCUCUCCCCCAUGGGGUUGUGGGUGGCGCUCCCUUCGGAUUUUCUAACGGCUCUGCACAUCUCUGGUUAUUACAAAACCCACUUCAUUCGUUAACGAAUCAACCAUCCCCCUGAAGAGACCACUUAGAGGUCGAAACACGUCGGGGAACGCACAUCACACAGCAUAAAGCAAUGUUGUAUACAUUUGUCCAAUAUUGUGGAAUAUGUAUUGUAUCACCAGAUCCGUAAAGGGUUUUCUUUCAAUUUGUUAUUGCAUUUAAAAUGUAUGUUAUUGACAACCAUAAAAUAAACCAUGCUUUAUUAUAUUA